AUUGAACGCUGGCGGCAUGCCUUACACAUGCAAGUCGAACGGUAACGGGCCUUCGGGCGCCGACGAGUGGCGAACGGGCGAGUAAUGCAUCGGAACGUACCUUUCAGUGGGGGAUAACGUAGCGAAAGUUACGCUAAUACCGCAUAUUCUGUGAGCAGGAAAGCAGGGGAUCGCAAGACCUUGCGCUGAUUGAGCGGCCGAUGUCAGAUUAGCUAGUUGGUGAGGUAAAGGCUCACCAAGGCGACGAUCUGUAGCGGGUCUGAGAGGAUGAUCCGCCACGCUGGAACUGAGACACGGUCCAGACUCCUACGGGAGGCAGCAGUGGGGAAUUUUGGACAAUGGGGGCAACCCUGAUCCAGCCAUGCCGCGUGAGUGAAGAAGGCCUUCGGGUUGUAAAGCUCUUUCGGCCGGGAAGAAAUCGUAUGGGUUAAUACCCUGUGCGGAUGACGGUACCGGCAUAAGAAGCACCGGCUAACUACGUGCCAGCCGCCGCGGUAA
RNAcentral lists this ribosomal RNA (498 nucleotides) under uncultured bacterium. RNAcentral describes it as "partial 16S ribosomal RNA". It matches the Rfam family "Bacterial small subunit ribosomal RNA", at positions 30 to 523 of the family's 1533-position model. The record is from RNAcentral.